Long non-coding RNA from Nymphaea colorata (pocket water lily), 3191 nucleotides. RefSeq lists it as uncharacterized. NCBI's taxonomy places the organism in Eukaryota, Viridiplantae, Streptophyta, Magnoliopsida, Nymphaeales, Nymphaeaceae. The transcript has 3 exons. The record is from RefSeq and is a predicted model, not a curated record.
GUUGGUGUGAGCCUUUUCACAACAAGGGGACCUCCCCAUUCUUAGAGAAGGAGCAAGAAGAAAACUUUCUAUUGCAAGCACCAGGAAACAAAGAAGCAAGGGAUUGCUCCUUGAGGAUUUAUAGACAUUUGACUUGACAGCACCAUAAUGCACCUCUCCAAUUCAAAGAAAAGAAAAAGGAAAAUAUCUUGUUUGGCUGAUGGAUCGCUGUGGCAAGCCUAGAGCAAUGCCUGGGUGCUACUGCACUAAUGAUCUUUCUCAACAUCCAGCCAGCGCAUGCCCACAGAUUCUUUGCUGUUGUUAUGACUGUUAUUAUUGUUUCUGCCAUUAAUAUAAUUCUUUGCUUAACUUGAUGACAUCCACAUAGAUUUUGUAGUUAUAUAUAUAUACCCACACACAAGAACACGGAAAAUGAGAAAAGAAUCAUCUUGAUAUUUUUCCAGGCAGAAGCCUGCUGUCACUGUUGUUUGAGGUCAAAUUAGGGGGGAAAAACAUUCAACUGAAUCAACAAAAGUGCAACUUAAGAUUGGCUUAUGCACUUGAAAGUCGUUGAAAAAGCAAACCAGCAACCACCCAAAAGCUGGAUGGAAAUUUUUAUUCAUGAAGUGGGGCACUGCAGGUUUUGGGGUUUGCUAGGGGUCACCUUGAUCAUGACAGGGAGUGAAAGCGGUUUGCAUUAAAAAGGAAACUAGGGUUUGUUGGGCCUUCUAGAAGGGCUUCCUGAAGCAACUUGCAAGGCCCAAACCCCCCCUCCCUCUCUCUCUCUUUUUCUCUCUCUAUCUCCAUCACUCUCUGUCAUUCUCUCUCUAGCCCAAUCCUUGUGGAGUAAGUAUGGGGUCACAAGUGGAGGUAGGAGAGAGAGUUGGUUCCCCUUUUUGUUGCUGAAUGUUGGCAAUAGCACCAGCUUUCUUAACAGGCAUCACCAUCUUCCUCCCCCUCUUUUCUGGCUUCAUGCUCAACUCUUUCUUCCCCAGUGUUUCACCAGUUGCCAUGAAAAGAACAACUACCUUGAGCCCUUCCCUUGCCCUUGGGCCCAUGCCCCCAAAACAGUAAUCUAUUAAGUUUCUUUAAUAAGGGUUUCACUGUUUUUUUUCCUCUUCCUCCUGCGCGGCUCGACUCAGUGGCCUAACUUUCUUCCCAAGCCCUGCACGUGAUCAGGAACUGCACCACUAUGAGGGCUAAACUGGUCCACCUGGGUCCCACUAACUGGGUGGCCUGGCCGCAGUCUCUCUGUCUGUGUGUGAGGUUCGUGCACCAAAGUUGGUGUUGUUAGGUGAGGGGGUUGUUGGCAUCUCUAAUAAAUGACUGCAUGUGCUCUCUCUCUGUCACUCUCUCUCUCUCUCUCUUUCUCUUUGCAAAGAUUACAGAAAAGAAUACUGAACCACAAGACCGCAGCAAUAUCAUUGUUGUGCAUGCAUAUCUCUAAGUAUGAAUGAUGUUUAUUAGGCUUAGCUUGUGAUGAUUGAACCGUCCUCACCAUCCCCAUCAUCGUUAUCAGCAUCAUCCUCUGAGCAUCUAAUGCGAUUGCAACCAGUUCUGCCAUUGCCAUUACUGUUCCAUGGCUCUGUGCUUCUCCAACAGACACGUGAUCUCACUCCCUCUCUCUGUCUCUCUCUCUCUCUCUCUCUCACACACACACACACGCAGCCGAAAUAUCUAGCUAUCUUUAAUUCUGCAGCUGGUUUUGACAGGUCCAACUUUAGGAUUAGUGGAUGUGAAAUGUCCAGACUGUAUGACAAAAAAAAAAAACAUGAAAUUUUGAUGAUAGAUCAGUUGGUAUAGUGAUUUCAUACUUACCUCUCUCAGUUUUAUUGAUUAAUGAAAUCUGAUUUAUGUAUCAAAUUUAUACGGUUUCUUUGUUUUGACGUUUCACGUUUGUUUAUGCGAUUAGAUCUUUGAGAGGAAAACAUGAAAAACGCUAAACAACAUAUCGGCCACGGCAUGAUAUAAUGAUUCAUCUUUUGAUAAUAAAAGGACGAGGGCCUACCCCUCAGCAGGUUUUUCACCGAUAAUGAUUCAUCGAUAUCUACAAGAAACUUGACUGCUUUAAAACAUGACUCUUGAAUUAUAUUUCUCUUCUAUAUAUAUAUAUAUAUAUAGGAUACAUCAAUCUUGGCAAGUGUGACAACUCGCUUCCUUCUCAUUGAAUACACAACUAUAAGCAUUAAAUGGGGAGUGAAUUAUCUGAACGGUCUGUUAGAAAUAUAUAUAUACAUAUAUAAGGUGAAAUCCUCUGGCCGUCUGGCUUCCAUCCAAUCAUGGCUGGCCCCAAUGCAAUGUAUUGGGCAGGCGUGAAUUAAACACAGGGCAAUAUGUGCUGUGAGAGGCAGGAAGAUUUCUCGAUUCAAACCUGGGUGGAGAAAUCCAACAGAGAGAGAGAGAGUUGAUAUGGAACCCCCUUUAGAGAACCAAGGCAAAGUGAAGGUUCACUACAAUGUCUUGUUAAAUGGAACUAUAUGUUUAGACCAUAAGGUUUCCAAUUUUGCUAGCUAGGUGAUUUUUCUAUCUAUAUAUAUAUAUAUAUAUACUUGAUCGAUGACAGGAGCUCUGUACCUAAUAGGGGACUGAUCCCUUGCACACUUCUAAGUAUCAUGGGAUCCUUGAUGCUAACUGGACGAUGCGAGCCUAUAAAUGGCGCCCUUGGGAAGUCACUCAGAAGCAAGAGAGAGAGAGGGGAGGCAAAGUACAAGCAGAAGAGGGAGCCCAUGGACUGUAAAUAGGCGUGGAGUUAAACGUGUAUAUUGAAGGGGCUUUACCGCUGCUCCCAAGUGGUUUCUGGUCAAGGUUUUCUUUCAAACUAAUUUGAGAAAGGAAAAGCUGCAGAGUUUUCCAGCACUUUAGUGCGUGUUCAUAAGCUUGAUGGUUUCCUUAGAAAAACCAUACAUAAUGAUUAUGUUCAGUGGGCUUUUACAGUCAAUUUUUGUUCCCACACAUAGAAUGGAAAGAAGAACACCUUGUGAAACCACCACACCUAUUACAUUCUUUGUAGUUCACUUAGUAGGUGAGGUCCGUGAGGAAUCUCUUUUAGAUAUCCACUGCUAAGAUCAGUAUAGAAAGAACAGAACCAACUGUAUUGAAAUCUUGACCGCUUUCAGUCUAAAGGUCUUAAUCGAACAUAAUUUCAAGUGUAAUAACUUGCCCUGCCUGAAUGAGUUCUAGAGACGACUCAUUUAACCAUAUCAAAAGGGUUA